Molecule: microRNA precursor, 200 nt
Filed under: Dichanthelium oligosanthes
Lineage: Eukaryota; Viridiplantae; Streptophyta; Magnoliopsida; Poales; Poaceae
Description: MIR1435 microRNA precursor family
Rfam family: MIR1435 microRNA precursor family
Source: Rfam by way of RNAcentral
UUGGUUUGUCUUAAGCCAAACUUGUUCAAUUUUGAUCAAAUUUAUAUAAAAAUAUAACAAUAUCUACACUACCAAAUAUAUGCAUUAUCAAAAUAUAUUCUAUGAUAGAUUUAAUGAAACAAAUUUGAUAUUGUAAAUUUUGAUAUAUUUCUCUAUAAACCUGGUCAAAGUUGAAUAAGUUUGACUUAGAACAAACAUAA